CAGACCAAUUCCAACUGCAAGAUUGUAUAAUAAUCAACAUGAGAGCUUUCAUGCAUACCGGACUGCUUCUAGACUGCUGUGCAAUUUGGGUCACCAUGGGCUGAAUGGAUGGCAGAAAAGAUGGCCUGCAGAUUGAUGGCCAACCUAGAGCAAGAGGAGACAAGAGAAGCCAUGGGCAGCAACAACCUCUGGCAUAUAGCAAAGUGUAGAUGGAUUGAUUCAAGAAGAGAAAUAGUAGCAUCAAAGAGCACCCCAUCCCCGAGCAUAAUUCAUUUCAGAAAGGGGAGUGUUUUUUGUGAUUAGCUACGUUUGAAUGUUUACAAAGCACCAGUGACUGUUUCGCACACCCCCCACGUGUAUUUCCAUUGAAUCCUCAGAGCCCCAGGAAUCCCGUGUAUUCACAGACAAGGAAACGGAGGCACAGACUCAUCAAGUGAAUUUUCCAAGGCCACACUUUAAUAUGUGGCAGUCCUAAGAUCUUAACCCAGACAAAUCUAAUUGGGGGAGGCACUUUCUCCCUCUUCAAAGCUUACCCACCUUUUAUCCCAAAAGCCCAGUCUAUGUUACAUCCAGAGAAGACCGUUGGGACAAAUACAGAGUAGAAGAAAAUGAACCCUGAAGAACAUUUGAAAUAAGUACUGAGUUUAUGUCAUUGAAAUCUGAUGCUGUUUUCAAAUAUUCAUAGUAGAAGCACUAAUAUUUUAUAUACGGGCAGGUAACAGUCUGAUCAACCUUGUUCUCCUAAGUAAUGGUGGCAGAGAGUCAACUGACAGCCUUACAAAAGGGUUUGGGCUUCCCUAUUAUGUCUCAGUGCUCACAUUCCUUGACCUGAAACAAUCUCAAGGUUUCCAAGGAUGGCCAGACUGUCAAGACUGCUUUCUUAGAGGCAGGAAAUAUUUCUAUUUCAAGGAGAUGAAGUGAACAUUUUCUUGGCCGAGUAUUUGAUCAUGUUUCUUUACUGGAAAUACCUACAUUUCUUUUUCCUGAAUCAGACUUCUAGAACUUUUUCUUUCAUCCUAAAAACAGACCAUUGAUCUCAUUUGCUUCCUUCCCUGUCAGUGGCCAUGAAGGAGAGGUCAAGUCCUUGGAGUUCUCUGCCUUAUCUAGAAGAUUCCCUGGGAUUCCGCAUGCAGUUCCCCCACCUCCUCUUCUGGUACCCGGGCCAGUUAGCCACAUGCAUUUCUUUCUCUGACACACAGGCUCUUUUUGGCCAUCAGUAAACACACUGACCUUUGAAAUAUGGAAAGAAAAGCGCUUUGAAAUAAAACUGGCACAAACAGCGGUCAGACAGCCGUCAUCUGGAGGCAGAAACAAAGGGGAGCAUAGUUUUCAAGCUGUCUUGGUAAUUACACCAAGCAGUUAUCACUCAGGCCCCAGUCUGCGCAUUACCCCCCAAACAAACAGCGGAGGUCUGAGAAAGUACAUAGGCCACUUUGUUGCUGAAGCAAGCUGGGGCUGCAGAGCCCCCCAGCUAAAAAUCACAUGUGGCUGGGAGUGUUUUCCAGGGCUGCGGGGCUCUUUCCUUUCUUCCUUCCCCAUUAAACCCCUCUGCUCUUCUUGGCAAGGGCCUUCAGGUGAGAUCUGUGCUCUGUGUAUCCUGAAAUGAUCCAGAAUGGUUGAAAUGGUCGUUUCCCUGCAUCUGGCUAUUUCCAUUUUACAGGUAUUUUAUGAAUUCA
This is a non-coding RNA of Ictidomys tridecemlineatus (thirteen-lined ground squirrel), 1676 nucleotides long. The record is from RefSeq and is a predicted model, not a curated record. NCBI's taxonomy places the organism in Eukaryota, Metazoa, Chordata, Mammalia, Rodentia, Sciuridae.